This 2630-nucleotide ribosomal RNA is filed under the name Salmonella enterica subsp. enterica serovar Stanley. Its description in RNAcentral is "partial 23S ribosomal RNA". It matches the Rfam family "Bacterial large subunit ribosomal RNA", at positions 325 to 2925 of the family's 2925-position model. The record is from RNAcentral. Lineage: Bacteria; Pseudomonadati; Pseudomonadota; Gammaproteobacteria; Enterobacterales; Enterobacteriaceae.
UGUGUUAGUGGAAGCGUCUGGAAAGGCGCGCGAUACAGGGUGACAGCCCCGUACACAAAAGCGCAUGUGCUGUGAGCUCGAUGAGUAGGGCGGGACACGUGGUAUCCUGUCUGAAUAUGGGGGGACCAUCCUCCAAGGCUAAAUACUCCUGACUGACCGAUAGUGAACCAGUACCGUGAGGGAAAGGCGAAAAGAACCCCGGCGAGGGGAGUGAAAAAGAACCUGAAACCGUGUACGUACAAGCAGUGGGAGCACCCUUUGGGGUGUGACUGCGUACCUUUUGUAUAAUGGGUCAGCGACUUAUAUUCUGUAGCAAGGUUAACCGUAUAGGGGAGCCGGAGGGAAACCGAGUCUUAAUUGGGCGUUAAGUUGCAGGGUAUAGACCCGAAACCCGGUGAUCUAGCCAUGGGCAGGUUGAAGGUUGGGUAACACUAACUGGAGGACCGAACCGACUAAUGUUGAAAAAUUAGCGGAUGACCUGUGGCUGGGGGUGAAAGGCCAAUCAAACCGGGAGAUAGCUGGUUCUCCCCGAAAGCUAUUUAGGUAGCGCCUCGUGAAUUCAUCUCCGGGGGUAGAGCACUGUUUCGGCUAGGGGGCCAUCCCGGCUUACCAACCCGAUGCAAACUGCGAAUACCGGAGAAUGUUAUCACGGGAGACACACGGCGGGUGCUAACGUCCGUCGUGAAGAGGGAAACAACCCAGACCGCCAGCUAAGGUCCCAAAGUCAUGGUUAAGUGGGAAACGAUGUGGGAAGGCCCAGACAGCCAGGAUGUUGGCUUAGAAGCAGCCAUCAUUUAAAGAAAGCGUAAUAGCUCACUGGUCGAGUCGGCCUGCGCGGAAGAUGUAACGGGGCUAAACCAUGCACCGAAGCUGCGGCAGCGACACUGUGUGUUGUUGGGUAGGGGAGCGUUCUGUAAGCCUGUGAAGGUGUGUCGUGAGGCAUGCUGGAGGUAUCAGAAGUGCGAAUGCUGACAUAAGUAACGAUAAAGCGGGUGAAAAGCCCGCUCGCCGGAAGACCAAGGGUUCCUGUCCAACGUUAAUCGGGGCAGGGUGAGUCGACCCCUAAGGCGAGGCCGAAAGGCGUAGUCGAUGGGAAACGGGUUAAUAUUCCCGUACUUGGUGUUACUGCGAAGGGGGGACGGAGAAGGCUAUGUUGGCCGGGCGACGGUUGUCCCGGUUUAAGCGUGUAGGUGUGUGUUCCAGGUAAAUCCGGUUCACUUUAACACUGAGGCGUGACGACGAGGCACUACGGUGCUGAAGCAACAAAUGCCCUGCUUCCAGGAAAAGCCUCUAAGCAUCAGGUAACAUCAAAUCGUACCCCAAACCGACACAGGUGGUCAGGUAGAGAAUACCAAGGCGCUUGAGAGAACUCGGGUGAAGGAACUAGGCAAAAUGGUGCCGUAACUUCGGGAGAAGGCACGCUGACACGUAGGUGAAGUGAUUUACUCAUGGAGCUGAAGUCAGUCGAAGAUACCAGCUGGCUGCAACUGUUUAUUAAAAACACAGCACUGUGCAAACACGAAAGUGGACGUAUACGGUGUGACGCCUGCCCGGUGCCGGAAGGUUAAUUGAUGGGGUCAGCGCAAGCGAAGCUCCUGAUCGAAGCCCCGGUAAACGGCGGCCGUAACUAUAACGGUCCUAAGGUAGCGAAAUUCCUUGUCGGGUAAGUUCCGACCUGCACGAAUGGCGUAAUGAUGGCCAGGCUGUCUCCACCCGAGACUCAGUGAAAUUGAACUCGCUGUGAAGAUGCAGUGUACCCGCGGCAAGACGGAAAGACCCCGUGAACCUUUACUAUAGCUUGACACUGAACAUUGAGCCUUGAUGUGUAGGAUAGGUGGGAGGCUUUGAAGCGUGGACGCCAGUCUGCGUGGAGCCGACCUUGAAAUACCACCCUUUAAUGUUUGAUGUUCUAACGUGGACCCGUGAUCCGGGUUGCGGACAGUGUCUGGUGGGUAGUUUGACUGGGGCGGUCUCCUCCUAAAGAGUAACGGAGGAGCACGAAGGUUGGCUAAUCCUGGUCGGACAUCAGGAGGUUAGUGCAAUGGCAUAAGCCAGCUUGACUGCGAGCGUGACGGCGCGAGCAGGUGCGAAAGCAGGUCAUAGUGAUCCGGUGGUUCUGAAUGGAAGGGCCAUCGCUCAACGGAUAAAAGGUACUCCGGGGAUAACAGGCUGAUACCGCCCAAGAGUUCAUAUCGACGGCGGUGUUUGGCACCUCGAUGUCGGCUCAUCACAUCCUGGGGCUGAAGUAGGUCCCAAGGGUAUGGCUGUUCGCCAUUUAAAGUGGUACGCGAGCUGGGUUUAGAACGUCGUGAGACAGUUCGGUCCCUAUCUGCCGUGGGCGCUGGAGAACUGAGGGGGGCUGCUCCUAGUACGAGAGGACCGGAGUGGACGCAUCACUGGUGUUCGGGUUGUCAUGCCAAUGGCACUGCCCGGUAGCUAAAUGCGGAAGAGAUAAGUGCUGAAAGCAUCUAAGCACGAAACUUGCCCCGAGAUGAGUUCUCCCUGAGACUUUAGGUCUCCUGAAGGAACGUUGAAGACGACGACGUUGAUAGGCCGGGUGUGUAAGCGCAGCGAUGCGUUGAGCUAACCGGUACUAAUGAACCGUGAGGCUUAACCUUACAACGCCGAAG